CAGUCGCCGCGGGAAUACCAGCAGCCCAAGUGGUGGUCGCGCUUAUUGGGCCUAAAGCGCUCGUAGCCUGGCCGGUAAGUUCCCCGUGAAAUCGGGUCGCCCAACGAUUCGGCUUGCGGGGAAUACUGUCGGUCUUGGGGCCGGGAGACGCCGAGGGUACUCCGGGGGUAGCGGUGAAAUGCUGUAAUCCUCGGGGGACUACCAGUGGCGAAGGCGCUCGGCGAUAACGGGCCUGACGGUGAGGGGCGAAAGCUGGGGGCGCGAACGGGAUUAGAUACCCCUGUAGUCCCUGUCUCUUAUA
This 301-nucleotide ribosomal RNA is filed under the name uncultured bacterium. RNAcentral's name for it is "partial 16S ribosomal RNA". It matches the Rfam family "Archaeal small subunit ribosomal RNA", at positions 459 to 759 of the family's 1478-position model. The record is from RNAcentral.